GGACAGAUGGCCGAGCGGUCUAAGGCGCCAGACUCAAGCUGUACAAGUUUGUCUAACAAUUAGUUGGAUGUCUUCUGGUCUCGUAAGAGGCAUGGGUUCGAAUCCCAUUCUGUUCA
Molecule: transfer RNA, 116 nt
Filed under: Erythrobacter sp. YJ-T3-07
Lineage: Bacteria; Pseudomonadati; Pseudomonadota; Alphaproteobacteria; Sphingomonadales; Erythrobacteraceae
Description: tRNA-OTHER
Rfam family: tRNA
About the family: Transfer RNA (tRNA) molecules are approximately 80 nucleotides in length. Their secondary structure includes four short double-helical elements and three loops (D, anti-codon, and T loops). Further hydrogen bonds mediate the characteristic L-shaped molecular structure. tRNAs have two regions of fundamental functional importance: the anti-codon, which is responsible for specific mRNA codon recognition, and the 3' end, to which the tRNAs corresponding amino acid is attached (by aminoacyl-tRNA synthetases). tRNAs cope with the degeneracy of the genetic code in two manners: having more than one tRNA (with a specific anti-codon) for a particular amino acid; and 'wobble' base-pairing, i.e. permitting non-standard base-pairing at the 3rd anti-codon position.
Source: RNAcentral